Molecule: RNA transcript, 2846 nt
Organism: Neopelma chrysocephalum (saffron-crested tyrant-manakin)
Lineage: Eukaryota; Metazoa; Chordata; Aves; Passeriformes; Pipridae
Gene: VAMP1
Gene name: vesicle associated membrane protein 1
Exons: 6
Source: RefSeq, a predicted model, not a curated record
GCCCGGCCGGCUAUAAGUGCGAGUGGCGGGGUUCCCCGCCUGCCGGUGAGGAGCUCUAGCUGUGUGUUCAUUCUGCGGGGUGCCGGUCCGGCCCGGCCAUGUCUGACCCAGCUCCGCAGCCUGCUCCCGGGGCCCCCGAAGGGGGAGCCCCCGAAGGAGGAGCUACUGAAGGGGGAGCCCCCGGUGCGGGCCCCCCCGGGGCUCCCCCUAAUCUGAGCAGUAAUCGCCGCCUGCAGCAGACCCAGGCCCAGGUGCAGGAGGUGGUUGAUAUAAUGUGUGUAAAUGUAGACAAGGUGCUGGAACGAGACCAGAAACUGUCAGAGCUAGAUGACCGGGCAGAUGCACUUCAGGCCGGUGCCUCAAUAUUUGAAAGUAGCGCAGCAAAACUCAAAAGGAAGUACUGGUGGAAGAACUGUAAGAUGAUGAUCAUGAUGGGAGUGAUUGGUGCCAUUAUUGUGGUGGUGAUUGGAACAUAAACAUACCUGAAGUUCUGGCCCUCAAAGCAGUGGCUGGUUUUCCAUUGAAAAAUGAUGGUAGUUCCAGUUGUGCUGGACUGAGUCUGGUGACGGUGCCACCAGUACUCUGUAUUUUCUGUGGGGCAAUUGAGAGACACUGGUUUAAUGAGACCAGAGUAAUGCCUCAGAGUGCCCACUGUGAGGUGUUUUUUGAUCUUACUAAUUGGUCCUGUCCUUUUGCUCUGGACCAUCUCCAGGCUUUCAAUAUAAUAAAAAACCCCGUGGGUGGCUGCUCAGUCAGUGGGUGUUGCAGCUCCAGGCUUUGCUGGGCUUCCAAUUUCGCAUCGUCAGUCACAGGGGACCGUGACUUCUCCAGUGGUUGCCAAUGAGGUUCCUGCUCUUGUCAGCUUGUCCUUCCUUGCUGGCUGCAUGGGAGCCAGCUGUCACAUACCCACCUGUUAUCUGGGUGUGUCCAAAUCCAGCAGGCAGUCAAAAAAGCUUCCGUGAGUCCUGACCCAGAAUAGCAGCCUCUGGGAGCAAGGGGACUGGUAUUGACACCAAGGGUCCCUUGGAACUCCCCUUCCUGAAUCCUGGGUGGUUCCCCCCUCUCUGUGGGCUCAGCCAACCUGUUCACUGGCCCUGGAGCCCUGCAGUAGGCUUGACUCCACAGAGUGGUGUGGGAGGUGCACAGACAGAAGGCAACCAUUGGAACUAAAAAUUUAUUGGUAAUGCAUCAAAAAUGAAGAGGAAAAGAUACAAGCAAAAACUGCUUCCACCAGCAGUUACACUCUGCCCGUAGUUGCUCUUAGGUGUUCCCACAGGUCAGACAACUCAAAUGGAUUCAUGGAUUGACAGCAUUGAGGCAGCAUGGUGGUCCAGGACCUGAGGAGACUCCACUAACAUUACUGAGCAUCUGCUCUUGUUUGAGUACCUUCAUCUGUUCAGGUGGCUUGUGCUCAUCUGAAGGAUUCCCUCUUCUUUAGCUGCUGACCUUGCCAUUUGCAAAUUUUAUCAACAAUAUUUUUUACAGUUGUAUCUCCUGCUGCAAAUACUAAACAGCACAGUUGUUGCAGAGAGGCACACAUUGUCUGCAGUGAUUGCUGCUUUUUUUGGACCAUGUAUUUUUGUCUGUUAGCUAGCAAUUAAUCCAUAUAAUGCAAAUUACGGUCUAUUCACACACUAUUAAUUUCUUCCUUAGAAUUUACAAAUUUCUUGGUUUGUUUAAUCUGCACCAGUGCUUUCAUGAACCAAAUGUAUUAUUUUGUCAAAGAAUAAAGUCAGGUUUGUUUCCCACAAUGGUUUCUUUUUUUUUGAAUACUAAGUUGUUCAUAUUAUUUUAAUUGUUUAAACAUCUGUUAGCUGACUUGUAAUAACUUCAUGCUCUCUUACCUAUGAUUAUUACUACAGAACCAUCUAACAGUCAGGUGUCAUAUAACUUUCUCUCUCUGAGCAGUGGCACCACAUAGUCUUCCAAGAUUGGGAACUUUUCAAGUAUGGGAGAAGUUGGGAAUCUUGGGAUUUCUCUAGUAUGCCAGGAUUUUUAAAUACCUAAAUCCAUUGGGCCAAGUGCCUUCUCAGCCAAAUUUUCUAUGAUUCUGAGAUGCAAAUUUUCCUGGCUCCUGAUCUGAAAAUAUUUAUGCUUAAUAGAUGCUGUUAAAACUUUCCUUAGUUUGCAAACAGAUGAGGAAGUUGUUUACUAUCCUUAUGUAGUAGAAAUACACAAAUCCGUUUCUUUCUGUAUACAAACAAGUACUUUCUCUGCAUCAAAAAGCCUUCACCAAAAAUCUUCAUUAUCAACAGUUUUACCCAUAUCCACCCAGUAAGAGCCUAAGCUGUUACUAGUAUUUUUUAGUUUUCAGAAUGUUUUGAAAAAAACUGCUUCCAAGUGCCGUUAGGACUUGCAGCAACCCAGUUUUUCCAGAUUGUUUUGAACACUCCUUAUCACCUUGUAUGCUUCAUAAAUUCUCACUUUUAUUGUGUGCCAUAUACCUCCUUUGCAUCCACCCCUUCCUUCUGCUUUUUUUUUCCCCUGUUGAUUUUAUACAGGGAAUUUUGAAGUGUUAACCUUUAAAUUCCCCGUUAGGCAGGAAAGGUACAUUUAAUCAUGUCUGUUCUUUUCACAACUACAGAACCACAGAUCUUCUCCAUUUUGUAAACUUCUAGCAGUGAAAUAUCUAUUAAAAUUUUUAUUGUAGCUUUCUCCUGGAGAGUCAUAUUUCUCUGAUUGCUUGAUUUGCCCAUAACUUCCCCCACCUGAGGAUUCACCAUUUUGAAAUACCAAUUUUGCCUACUUAUAUGCCCAACUUCACACAUAAAAUGCUUAUACACAUAAAUAUCUUACUUAAACACCUGCCUUGUAGGCAUUAACCAAAUGUACUUAUAUAUAGCUAC